GACGAACGCUGGCGGCGUGCUUAACACAUGCCAGUCGAACGAAGAGCGAUGGAAGCUUGCUUCUAUCAAUCUUAGUGGCGAACGGGUGAGUAACGCGUAAUCAACCUGCCCUUCAGAGGGGGACAACAGUUGGAAACGACUGCUAAUACCGCAUACGAUCUAAUCUCGGCAUCGAGGAUAGAUGAAAGGUGGCCGCUACAUGUAAGCUAUCACUGCAGGUGGGGAUUGCGUCUGAUUAGCUAGUUGGCGGGGUAACGGCCCACCAAGGCGAUGAUGAGUAGCACGUCUGAGAGGAUGAACAGCCACAUUGGGACGGAGACACGGCACAGUCUCAUACAGGAGGCAGCAGUAGGGAAUCUUCCGCAAUGGACGAAAGUCUGACGGAGCAACGCCGCGUGAGUGAGGGCGGCCUUCGGGUUGGAAAGCUCUGUUAAUCGGGACGAAAGGCCUUCUGGCGAAUAGUGAGAAGGAUUGACGGUACCGGAAUAGAAAGCCACGGCUAACUACGUG
RNAcentral lists this ribosomal RNA (510 nucleotides) under uncultured bacterium. Its description in RNAcentral is "partial 16S ribosomal RNA". It matches the Rfam family "Bacterial small subunit ribosomal RNA", at positions 28 to 507 of the family's 1533-position model. The record is from RNAcentral.